GUCAGUGAAUACCUGGGUGCAGCUCUUCGGAGAGAUCAGACAGGACCCAAGAAAAAGCCCCUGGUGUGGGGAGGAAGCGUGGCUGGAGGGUCAUGAAGAAGUCCCUGGUUGUGUCAACCUGGCUUGCCUGUGACUGUACCAGACACAUGAAGAAAGUCUCUACUAAGUAUCUUGGAAAUGUCAUGAAAGGGGACACUGUAGUGUCUACUAUUGAGCCUUGCCAGGAGUUUCCUACAUUUUUUUUGUACACAGAAGAUGUGAAAGGAGGACAAAUACCUGAACUUACCUUUGCUGUGACUCCAUGGAUCCAACUGGCAAGUGAUUGUGAAGUCAGAAUAAAGUAGAUGUCUAGCAAAUUACAUAAUAAAAUGGUUCCUGCCUUGUCUGGUUGAA
Dipodomys spectabilis (banner-tailed kangaroo rat) is the source of this 393-nucleotide long non-coding RNA. RefSeq lists it as uncharacterized. The record is from RefSeq and is a predicted model, not a curated record. Lineage: Eukaryota; Metazoa; Chordata; Mammalia; Rodentia; Heteromyidae. The transcript is spliced from 3 exons.